Molecule: ribosomal RNA, 464 nt
Filed under: uncultured bacterium
Lineage: Bacteria
Description: bacterial SSU rRNA
Rfam family: Bacterial small subunit ribosomal RNA
Source: RNAcentral
CCAGACUCCUACGGGAGGCAGCAGUGAGGAAUAUUGGUCAAUGGGCGCUAGCCUGAACCAGCCAAGUAGCGUGAAGGAUGACUGCCCUAUGGGUUGUAAACUUCUUUUAUAUGGGAAUAAAGUGCAGUAUGUAUACUGCUUUGCAUGUACCUUAUGAAUAAGGAUCGGCUAACUCCGUGCCAGCAGCCGCGGUAAUACGGAGGAUCCGAGCGUUAUCCGGAUUUAUUGGGUUUAAAGGGAGCGUAGGCGGGUUGUUAAGUCAGUUGUGAAAGUUUGCGGCUCAACCGUAAAAUUGCAGUUGAUACUGGCAGUCUUGAGUGCAGUUGAGGUAGGCGGAAUUCGUGGUGUAGCGGUGAAAUGCUUAGAUAUCACGAAGAACCCCGAUUGCGAAGGCAGCUUACUAAACUGUGACUGACAUCGAUGCUCGAAAGUGUGGGUAUCAAACAGGAUUAGAUACCCGAGUA